AUGUAAUUAGCAUCUCAUUAGUUGUCCGCUCGGGCUCGGAAGGCAGCCACUGCCGCCAGUCUGAGGCAGGUGCCCGACAUGGCGAGUGCUGUGCUGCCGAGCGGAUCCCAGUGUGCGGCGGCAGCGGCUGUGGCGGCGGCGGCGGCGCCUCCAGGGCUUCGGCUCCGGCUCCUGCUGUUGCUCCUCUCCGCAGCGGCUCUGAUCCCCACAGGUAGGUGUUGGUACCGGCCAGUUGGCCCCGAAACCUCCCCAGGCACCCCAGUAGCCGUAGCCAUGGAGGGGGGGAAACGUUUCCAUGACAACCUCCCCCCACUUCCUAAAUCCGAAGCGGAGGGAGUGUGGAGAGAAAACUCCACGGCUGAGAUGGAAGGGGCUGAGGGAAUCGCUGCUCCCCUUCCCUGCCCGGCUGGUUAUGAAUGAGAGCCCUCAGGGAUGGCUGCACCCACACCUUUUCUCCCUGGCUUGGCGCGAGGUGCGGAGUGGAG
This 485-nucleotide long non-coding RNA is filed under the name Marmota monax (woodchuck). The record is from RNAcentral. Lineage: Eukaryota; Metazoa; Chordata; Mammalia; Rodentia; Sciuridae.